Molecule: ribosomal RNA, 484 nt
Filed under: uncultured bacterium
Lineage: Bacteria
Description: partial 16S ribosomal RNA
Rfam family: Bacterial small subunit ribosomal RNA
Source: RNAcentral
AUUGAACGCUGGCGGCAUGCUUUACACAUGCAAGUCUAACGGCAGCGCGGGCUUCGGCCUGGCGGCGAGUGGCGAACGGGUGAGUAAUGCAUCGGAACGUGCCCAGUAGUGGGGGAUAGCCCGGCGAAAGCCGGAUUAAUACCGCAUACGACCUGAGGGUGAAAGCGGGGGACCGAAAGGCCUCGCGCUAUUGGAGCGGCCGAUGUCGGAUUAGCUAGUUGGUGGGGUAAAGGCUUACCAAGGCGACGAUCCGUAGCUGGUCUGAGAGGACGACCAGCCACACUGGGACUGAGACACGGCCCAGACUCCUACGGGAGGCAGCAGUGGGGAAUUUUGGACAAUGGGGGCAACCCUGAUCCAGCCAUGCCGCGUGCGGGAAGAAGGCCUUCGGGUUGUAAACCGCUUUUGUUCGGGAAGAAAUCCUCUGGGCUAAUACCCCGGGGGGAUGACGGUACCGGAAGAAUAAGCACCGGCUAACUACGUG